Molecule: long non-coding RNA, 4673 nt
Organism: Tympanuchus pallidicinctus (lesser prairie-chicken)
Lineage: Eukaryota; Metazoa; Chordata; Aves; Galliformes; Phasianidae
Exons: 6
Source: RefSeq, a predicted model, not a curated record
ACAACAGCUCUUGUUCUCCUAUCAGACUGCUGUCCAGCUAGAGGGAUCUGAUUUCACUGGUAUCCCUUUUUAAACCCUACUUCUAAGAGGGUUUGUAGCUAUUUCAUCUGUGUUAAGCAGCGCUGUGUUACCCGAGGCUAUAUGCUACGUUCUAUAUGAUCAAAGCAGAAAUGCAAGCAGCUUCUGACGAAGAGUUAUCAUGGCUGAGGGGAAAAAAUAUCAAGGAAGGAGAAAAAAGAUACAGCGCUACAAAAUACCAGGUCAUGCCACCAAAGUAAACACCCACAGAGCAGAGGCACUCCACAGCCCACAUUGUGCUCAGGGGAGGUGACGACUAACAUACCUGUGGAAGCCCUGAGAACCUCACUGAGAGCCGAUAGGCAUGCAGGAAUUUAGAAGCCCUGAAGCCAUGUCUGAACCAGGAACUUCAGAGCACAGACUUUCAGUCCCUGGGGGAAGGGUGUUUUCAUUCACUGCAAAGCUGGUACAGCAACAGCCUGAACACCAGGACCUACCAGCCUCAGCCUGCAAAGCUUCUUCAGACUUUGAUCUUCAGAGAGAUCAAACAGGGUCAGGCCACAGAUAGCAGAUUUUGAAUGAAAACCCAGACAGGGCUUUGUGACGUGGAGAUGAUGUGGAGAGCUUAAAAAGAAGACAAGACAGAGCAAGUAGUCCAGCCUGACACAUCAUUGGUUUUGUGCUCAACUAAAUCAAGUCAGAAUUCAGACCUCUUACAGUAGUUACUGCUUCUCCUACCCCAGCGUUUGGAUCCAACAGCCCCAAACAAGCUCGUGUCUGCAGCAAAUCACGGUUGUUCCGAGCAAGUCACCGCCGUGUUUCUAAGAAAAGAUGCGCUUCCCCAAAUGAAAUCACACACGUUAUUUGAAGAGAAACCACCUCAACCAUCCUAAACAUCCUGUGCUGCCACGAACGCAGCUCCCAGCGGGCGCUGCGGGGUUUUGUUUCGCACCGGAUGAGGCUGUCUGCCUGUCUGCCUCGCUAUCCGCCCAUCUCCGCACACACCUGUCUCUCUGGCCCCGCACAACCGUCUGCCUCCCGUCUCCCAUUGCUGCGUGUUGCAACAAGGCCUGGUGUGGCUGCCCCUCCCUGAGCACCGCGAGGCUGAGCCAGCAGCGCCAGACCCGGUGCCACCCCUGGGCCAUGCUCGGCAGGGUGAGCAGCAGGAUGGGGAGGCAGUGCCCGGCUGGGGGGGAGCGCGGGGACCUGCCCUUCUUCCCAGUGGGAGAGGGAGCUGCCACGAUUGGAAAGUGCAAGAACAACCUUUCUUCUCUCUUCUUUUCCAAGAUAGCAUCGGCUGUAUACUUACCUGCUUUAUGGGCCCGAUCUGGAAAUGAAUGAAAGGGAAACUGGUGGGGGAGGGAGCGCCCUCUGAGCUGCCUCAGGUACGCAUCUCUCCAUCGCCUGCUUGCAGCUUCCCUCUUCUGACCUCGCAGCCACCACGAGAUCUGUAUCUCCUGAUGACCACAGGUGUUUCACAGAACGGAGAAACUGAGGGGAUAUUCAGUGAAUGUCACGAAGAAAGCGGUGACAGCGGCUGAGCGCAGCUCCCAGCCCCAGCACUAAACCAGCACUCCCACCAUGGGGAAAUGGCGCAGAGUAAGGAGCAUCAUCAGCACAGCUCAGAAAGCAGGACGGGAUUUUGUUUAUUGGUUUCAGAUGUUUAAUUUUAAGUAAUAUGGAAAAUACUGACGAUCCACAAGAGGAGAAACAAGAGUUGAGGAGCAGCAAGGGUUGAGGAGAAGCAAGGGUUGAAUAAUAUAGAAAAAGAUGUGCAAAAAAAUCAAAGAAACCGGGAAGGAGUAAAAAAUAAGUGCAAAGUUCCAGGAGUGGGGAAAAAAAGGUGGGAAUUUUGCCCACCCAGAAGAGGCACCUGCAGGCUCACCCCAGCAGAAUGCUGCCUCGGAUAUCACCCUGCGCACGGGGUGAAGCUCAACCAGGCAAGGGUAAUGCCUACAAUUAAAGCCAGAACAAACCACAUGCUUAUUGGAUUCAGCGUGAAACUGUUCUUCACUGCCAGCUGCAGGGAGUAGAUGAUCUGAUAGGUCCUUUUCUUCUCUAAUUCUCUUGAUUGCCUAUGGGUAUUGUUAUUGCUUAUGUUGGCCAAAACCUGACCAUGUAUCUGGAUAGAGUGUACUGUAAGAGAGGCAGUUAUUUGACAGGAAUACUGCAAAUGUGUCCAGUUUGUGAAGGCAGAUUCCAUUCACUGUGCACACCGAUGUCAUUUGUUCUUUCGGGGUCUUCAGUAACUUCUACCACACAUGGCAAAGAAUACCACUACAAUGUCAUCACAUGCCUUUGUUGGUGUGGGUUAAUCCACAAAUUCUCAGUGAAGAUCUGUUGUGGGUUAUGCUGGAUGCUUAUGGAUGUCUUCAGAGCUAAUGAGCAAGCAACCACACUGCCCAAAUUUGCUUCGCUUUUAAUUGUGGCCGUUUUCCCUGCCCUCUGUAAAGAACUGCUUUCUUCUCUUCCACCUACCUAUGCCUCUGUACUACUCAAAGGAUUUCAUGCUUAGAUUACGUGUGCUACCAUGUACAUGAUUUAAGGUAAAACUUCCCCUUAGUACCAAACAAUAUGGGAACCCCCACCGUGAUUCCAAGCAUCCUGGAUGAGAAAAGGAGCCCAGCCAGGAGAGAGUGCUGCCUGCCACUGCCCUCGGCUGGGCACCCAGGGAAGGCUGUAGUGCCCUCCUCCUUCCAUCUCUCUGCAGCUCAGGGGGUUCCUGAGCCUGCACAGAUCACCACUGCUGGCCAAAUUUUCUGCAAUUUAUGUGCUGCAAAACCUCCGGCUGCUACAGGAUAUAAAUCAGUGGAGUCAUUGACAAUAAUUGGAAAAAAAAAUCCGUGAUGUUAAAGGCAUAAUAUGAAUCUUGAUCUUAAUCUGGGCUAAAUCUCCAGCAACAUAAAUUACCUGUCUGCUUGGCUAGCUCUGUUCUCUGCGGUCCCUAUGGAGUCUGACUAUGUAAUGGGCACGGUGUAACACGAUAGAUGGAACAAGGCUUUCUGUGCUCUCAAAUCCAGCUGAAGAGUGGCAGAAUGAUGUGUUCAGAUGAGUUCCUCUCUCCUUUUCAGGUACUGGACAAUUACACAUGAAGCACAACAAGUCCAGUUGCCACUGAUGGUCUAAUGCAAGUGGCAGAGCAACUGUGCUAGUUAAAUCUCUGUAUUAGUGACAUCUUACAGCACAGUGGCAUUAGUAAGAAAUGAAUUUUAAUUAAAUACUUGUACCUAAAAUCACAGAAUCACAGAAUGGUUUGAGUUGGAAGGGACCCCCAGAAGCCAUCUGGUCCCACUGCCUGCAGAGCACAGGGACACCCACAGCUCCAUCAGUGCUCACAGCCCUCCAGCCCGACCCUGGGGGUCUGCAGGGAUGGGCGCCACCACUCUGAGCAGCCUGUGCAGUGCCUUUCCACUCUAAUGGUAAAAAAACCUUCCUUAUAUCCAAUGUCAAUUUCCCUCUGUAGAUUGGUAAGGGUGUCUGGAAGGACAAAGAAAUCUGUGUAACACAUCUACAACUUCAGUGUUGCAGUUGUCAUCAUUUUAGAUUUAAACUUCAAGUGCACAGUGCUUACUUUUGCAACACUCUGUUAAUGCGCGUUGAGAGAAGUUAGCAUUUACACAGAUCAGAUCUAACCUUAAGGAAGCCUGCCUCAAACGAGCACACAGAGCUGAUUUCUGAAAACAUCAUAAUCCGAGGAAACUUUAUCCCCGCCGGCUGCUUGCCGGGGCGCGCCGACAGCCCGGCUCCUUCCUCCCUCUCGGCCAGGUACGAUCCAGCAGAAGCGCGGCGCAGAUCAGCUCCGCAGAGCUCUGUGCCCUGCAGGACGGCGAGGAAUGCAGCGCUUCCAGAAAGCAGAGCUGUCAGGAGAGACCUCCUUGGUGAGCGGCAGGCACGCACUGAUCCUGCACUGCAGCCACCAGGAGCAGUGGGGGCCCAGCAGCUGCCUGCCGGCCCACAGCUCCCAGCGCGUCCUCAGUUCGGCCACACCGUGCGCUCCUCUUCACCACCGCGCAGCUGAAACAGGUCGGGAUCCGGCACAGAGCUGCUCUGUCAGAUUGGCAAUAAGGCGACAAGAUGGAAAAAAAAAAAAAGAAAAAAAAAGAAAGGCUGCAAUAAUGUUAAAAAUAUCGUAAAAUGUUAUUUAUACCAGGAUACAUUUGUUACCCCAUGUGACAAUCAUUCAUUUUUCUUGACAGAUAUAAACCUCUGCUUAACACAUUAGUAUCAUAAAUAUUAUCAGAUAUAACGCUGUAAUUUAAUACCUACCAAAUGCAUUUUAAAAUAUUACUCAAUUUAAAACUUUGGAUUUUAACCAGAUGUGUUUCCAGAAAAUGAUUCGGGUCAGAUGCUUUUUUCUUUCCCUUUCUCUGUGCGUGCGCGUUCAAAGCGGAGCAUUGCUCUGUGAUUUAUUGCACCACGACUGCGUGCCCCCAACCCACAGCAGCACCGCGAUGCUUCAUCCUUGAGGCACACACACCUGCAGUCCAAACUAACAAGAGAAAACAUCUACAUGGCACGGCAGGAGCCUUUGAAAUGUCUCUUUGCAGUUGCCUGGACACAGAACAGACUGGUAGAACGGGGAGGCAGCGGAGAAAGGGUGAAGGCAGCAACUCUGGCCUCUUUCAUCUAGAAAGGGGGGACCAUGGAGAGAUUAG